This 397-nucleotide ribosomal RNA is filed under the name uncultured bacterium. RNAcentral describes it as "bacterial SSU rRNA". It matches the Rfam family "Bacterial small subunit ribosomal RNA", at positions 28 to 429 of the family's 1533-position model. The record is from RNAcentral.
GACGAACGCUGGCGGCGUGCUUAACACAUGCAAGUCGAGCGGUAAGGCCCUUUCGGGGGGUACACGAGCGGCGAACGGGUGAGUAACACGUGGGCGACCUACCCUCAGCUUCGGGAUAAGCCUGGGAAACUGGGUCUAAUACCGGAUAUGACCUUCCCUCGCAUGGGGGUUGGUGGAAAGUUUUUUCGGCUGGGGAUGGCCCGCGGCCUAUCAGCUUGUUGGUGGGGUGAUGGCCUACCAAGGCGACGACGGGAGCCGGCCUGAGAGGGCGACCGGCCACACUGGGACUGAGAUACGGGCCCAGACUCCUACGGGAGGCAGCAGUGGGGAAUAUUGCGCAAUGGGCGGAAGCCUGACGCAGCGACGCCGCGUGGGGGAUGACGGCCUUGGUUGUAAC